RNAcentral lists this ribosomal RNA (274 nucleotides) under uncultured bacterium. Its description in RNAcentral is "partial 16S ribosomal RNA". It matches the Rfam family "Bacterial small subunit ribosomal RNA", at positions 523 to 796 of the family's 1533-position model. The record is from RNAcentral.
AGACGGAGGGGGCAAGCGUUGUUCGGAAUUACUGGGCGUAAAGGGCGCGUAGGCGGACGAUCAAGUCAGGGGUGAAAGGCCUGGGCUCAACCUGGGAAUUGCCUUUGAAACUGGUUGUCUAGAGUCCGGAAGAGGAUGGCGGAAUUCCCAGUGUAGAGGUGAAAUUCGUAGAUAUUGGGAAGAACACCGGUGGCGAAGGCGGCCAUCUGGUCCGGAACUGACGCUAAGGCGCGAAAGCGUGGGGAGCAAACAGGAUUAGAAACCCCUGUAGUCC